CUCAAACUUGUAGGAAAUUCAGCCUAAAAGGUAGAGCGAUAUUGUACCUUUUAGACUGUAAGUGUUGCUUUUGGAUAACAUACCAAACACACCCAUGAUCAGCAUCAACUGCUCCUUUCUGCAUCAGGUUUUCUUCAAAUAAGUGUAGAAUUAAUGCAAGUUCAAGUCAAGUACUCCAAUAAAAAAUAAGGCUUGUUUGAGCACCACUUACCCAAAUCAACUGAAUACUAAGCUGGUUCGACCAGCACAGGGUGUGGCUUAUCUUUAAUUUAGGUCGAAUUCAUGGCUUGUAAUUAAGCAAACAAACUCGCACCGGAUAUACCGACAGCAGCAGAAUUUGAGUGAGUGCCUUGUCACUUGUCAAUGUCGGACGCGAGCGGCUGCGUGGCUACGAGCCUACAACGGAGCUGGAAGACACCCAGGCAGCCACCUCGCUUCCCUGCAUCACCCCCUUCUUCCCGUGCGUCUUCUCGAAGGAUCCAUGUAGUGAGGUCGUUGGAUCCGUUGGCCAGGACCAGCAGCGCGGCACCUUCAGUUCUCCGGCGUGCCUCGCCCAGCCUCUAGUCUUACUUCCUUUUAUCCCCUGCC
This 588-nucleotide long non-coding RNA is filed under the name Triticum aestivum (bread wheat). RNAcentral describes it as "long non-coding RNA (TAES_LNC026080)". The record is from RNAcentral. Lineage: Eukaryota; Viridiplantae; Streptophyta; Magnoliopsida; Poales; Poaceae.